UUCCCAGCAACUCCUAUACCUACCUCCUCGUGGUACUGGCCAGGGUACUAGUAACCUUAGGGAAGAUCGAGUAACCAACCCCGCUGGGAGCUUUGGUCGUAUGCUGACAGGUAAGG
This is a non-coding RNA of Aedes aegypti (yellow fever mosquito), 116 nucleotides long. The record is from Rfam. Lineage: Eukaryota; Metazoa; Arthropoda; Insecta; Diptera; Culicidae.